This 825-nucleotide ribosomal RNA is filed under the name uncultured bacterium. Its description in RNAcentral is "bacterial SSU rRNA". It matches the Rfam family "Bacterial small subunit ribosomal RNA", at positions 26 to 898 of the family's 1533-position model. The record is from RNAcentral.
AGAGCGAACGCUGGCGGCAGGCCUAAAACAUGCAAGUCGAACGAUCCUUCGGGAUAGUGGCGGACGGGUGAGUAACACGUGGGAACGUGCCCUUUGGUUCGGAACAAGCCGGGGAAACCUGGUCUAAUGCCGAAUGUGCCCUACGGGGGAAAGAUUUAUCGCCAUUGGAGCGGCCCGCGUCUGAUUAGCUUGUUGGUGAGGUAAAGGCUCACCAAGGCAACGAUGCGUAGCCGACCUGAGAGGGUGAUCGGCCACAUUGGAACUGAGACACGGUCCAGACUCCUACGGGAGGCAGCAGUGGGGAAUAUUGCACAAUGGGCGAAAGCCUGAUGCAGCAACGCCGCGUGAGUGAUGAAGGCCUUCGGGUUGUAAAACUCUGUCUUUGGGGACGAUAAUGACGGUACCCAAGGAGGAAGCCACGGCUAACUACGUGCCAGCAGCCGCGGUAAUACGUAGGUGGCAAGCGUUGUCCGGAAUUACUGGGCGUAAAGGAUGUGUAGGCGGAUAUUUAAGUGAGAUGUGAAAUCCCCGGGCUUAACCUGGGGGCUGCAUUUCAAACUGGGUAUCUAGAGUGCAGGAGAGGAAAGCGGAAUUCCUAGUGUAGCGGUGAAAUGCGUAGAUAUUAGGAAGAACAUCAGUGGCGAAGGCGGCUUUCUGGACUGUAACUGACGCUGAGACAUGAAAGCGUGGGGAGCAAACAGGAUUAGAUACCCUGGUAGUCCACGCCGUAAACGAUGAGUACUAGGUGUAGGAGGUAUCGACUCCUUCUGUGCCGUCGUUAACACAAUAAGUACUCCGCCUGGGAAGUACGGUCGCAAGAUUAAA